Molecule: ribosomal RNA, 446 nt
Filed under: uncultured bacterium
Lineage: Bacteria
Description: partial 16S ribosomal RNA
Rfam family: Bacterial small subunit ribosomal RNA
Source: RNAcentral
CCUACGGGAGGCUGCAGUCGAGAAUUAUUCACAAUGGGGGAAACCCUGAUGGUGCGACGCCGCGUGGGGGAAUGAAGGUCUUCGGAUUGUAAACCCCUGUCAUGUGGGAGCAAAUUAAAAAGAUAGUACCACAAGAGGAAGAGACGGCUAACUCUGUGCCAGCAGCCGCGGUAAUACAGAGGUCUCAAGCGUUGUUCGGAAUCACUGGGCGUAAAGGGUGCGUAGGCUGUUUCGUAAGUCGUGUGUGAAAGGCGCGGGCUCAACCCGCGGACGGCACAUGAUACUGGGAGACUAGAGUAAUAGAGGGGGAAGCGGAAUUCGCGGUGUAGCAGUGAAAUGCGUAGAUAUCGAGAAGAACACUCGUGGCGAAGGCGGGUUCCUGGACAUUAACUGACGCUGAGGCACGAAGGCCAGGGGAGCGAAAGGGAUUAGAUACCCGAGUAGUC